Molecule: long non-coding RNA, 4097 nt
Organism: Macaca mulatta (Rhesus monkey)
Lineage: Eukaryota; Metazoa; Chordata; Mammalia; Primates; Cercopithecidae
Source: RefSeq, a predicted model, not a curated record
AGAGGCCUCUCAUUAGUUGGGCUGCUUCCAGAAGUGGGAGACUACCAGAAACCUCCCUCCUUGGAGUCUCCCCAAGGCUCGGCGGAACAGGAGUGUGGCAGGAAGGGGGAGUCCUAGGAACUGGUCCCAUGGUAUGGGCGGAGGUCUCCCAGGCCACAGAGGAGAAGAGGGAGGAGGUGUGUCCUAUGUGACUCUGGCAGGAAGGAUCAGGGAGCCCUUCUGAGACAGCGCUUCUGAAAUCGGGCUGGCUGGAACUUUCUGUCAGAAAAUCGGAAUGACUGAAAAAACUCGGCUACUAUGAUAGAGGCCAGAGGGUGGGAAAGAGGAAAGUGAGUUGGGGUAGCGGGAAUCCUAGGUUCCACAGGCAUGGUUUACAGGUACAAUACAUUGUUGGUAACAUGAUGGCUCGGGGACAAACAAGCCUGUCUCCAAGCCGUGCAGGUGCAUUGAGAGGAUGUAGAAAUUCUGGAUUCAUAUCGGGCCCGUCUGCAUUUCUGCCCUCCUCCACCCAGCAUUGAGGGGAGGGCAGGGUAGAACUAAAGCAAAUGUUCUUUUCAAUCCCUGAAUAGGGGCUUGCGUACCUCAGAGGAAGACAGAACACGCACAUUUCUCUGCGUUUGUCUUUGUCUCAUCCUUAGUCUCUAGACCAUUAGCCCCUGUUGCCAUGGGAACUGAAGCUGAGUGUCUGAUGCAUUCAUUGGGCUGUGGGAGAAAAGCAGAGUUGGUCCUUGAAAUAAAGGCCCCUGGGAGAGGGGAUUCUAGCAAGGCAGUCACAUCGAAAGAAUUCACAAUUCCCACAGAGCAGGGUGGGACUCCUCUCAUGGUGUCCUGCCCUCCACACCCCAAAGUGUGAGUUCUCAUGAAGUCCAACCGGAUGCCCAUUCCCUGCAACCGGAGCACCCAACAGACCAAAGAGCACGAGGGGCUUUACCCCAUAAAGACAAAGAAACUGGCUGAGGAGACAAAAGAAAGAAAGUAGCAGAAGCUGGUAAGGAAACAGAGACAGGGUCUCACUUGUGUUGCCAAGAGAGCUUGAGCAUCAACUGGCAGUGAGGACAGCCGGAAAGCAACCGACUUACCCCUCUCACCAGACCUUCCAACUGUCUGCCACACUGGCAUUGCCGUGUAUCCCUGCAUCUUGUUGAUCCCAUUGUGGCAUUGUGGUCAGAGAAUAUACAACUCGCUGAAGAAUCCAUUGUUUAUGGACAUUCCUGGGAUUGUAUUCAUUUAAAUAUCUUUAUGUACAUUGUAGUGGAAUAUAAUACAAAAAUGGAGUUGCAUGAAAAAUGAAGGUACCGCUCAGUAAAUGGUUCCACAGGGACAUCUGAUCCCCUACGAUCUGGGUUAAGAAAUGGUGUACUGUAUUGCUGGCAGCUCAAAAGCACUCUCAUGCCAGUCACUCUUGUCUUCCACCUCGGCCAAUCUAACCACUCUUGUGACUUUUAACACUUGAAGAUAAUCCCGCCUGUUUGUGAACGCAUUACACGUACGUAGAAUCAGUACAGUACAUAUUUUACAGUACAUAUUUUAUAAUCUGGGUUUCUCUUGGUUUUUCAGUAAGGUUUUUCUCCUUACUAUUGACUUCUGUCGUGCUGUGUAGCUGAAUUUCGUUUCUUUGCCUUCCUGCGCAGUAUUUUGAAUUGUAUGACAAUGCCACAAUUUAUUCGUGCCUUUUAUUGCUAAUGGACUCUUCAGUAGUUUCCAGCGCUGGAGUGUUAGUGUCAUUAUUGUGGUGCACGUUCACAAGGAUGUCCUUUGGUUGACAUGCUUAUGCAUUUAAGGCUGUGCUUGCAGGACUGCUUUGAUUACUUUUUCUUCCUUCAUGGCACUGUAAGUGGUGACAGUGGAUGUAGCGGUUUGUAUUUAUUUAUUUAUUUAUUUAUUUAUUUAUUUAUUUUUCCCUGAUCUCAGAGGGAAAGCUGUCAACAUGUCACCAGUAAGUAUCGUUGUUUUCGGAGGCUUUUAAAAAAUAUUCCAACUGAAUCAAGAGCGUUUCCUUUUAUUUGCAGUUGGCUAAGAGGUUUUAUCAUAAGUGCGUGGUCAUUUUAAAAAAUCAAACCCAUGAAAUACCCUUCCUGCAUCUGUAGGGAAUAUCCUAUUUUUUCUCUUUCACACAUUACUUCUGAGAGAUAGAUUUUUCAAGCGCUGAACCGCUUCAUUUCUAGAAUACUCGACUUGUUUGUGAUACGUUUUCAUUUUUGGAGAUUUAACUGAUUUGUUUUGCUAAUGCUUUAUCCAAGAUUUCUUCUUCUGUGCUUAUGUGAAAGAUAGGCCUGUGCAUUUCAUUUCUUACCAUGCCCUUUAAGGUUUUUGCCUCAUAAAAUGGGAUGGGAAGCAUUUCCCCUUUUUUAUGUUACCUGGCAAGAAGGUAAGAUUGACAUUCUUUCCUUCACAAAUGUUUUGUAGAAUUAAUCGGUGGCGGCAUCAGAGUCUGUAGGUUCUUGUGGCUGCUGCUGUUGUUUCCUUCAGAUUCCGCCCGUUUAGAAUUUGUAGGACAAUUCAGAUGUUUAGUCUGUUUUCUGUCAUUUUGCUAUCCAAAGUAUCACAUUUGUGGGCAUAAAGCUGUUCAUGAUUUUGAAUAAUGAUCUCUUUAAUAUCUUCGUUGCCCAUAGUGAUGUUUUCUUAGCCACUCCAGACACUGGUUGCUUCAUUAUUUCUCUCCUUUUUGUUCAGGCCCACACAAGGCAUGUCUUAAUCACAUCAUCUUUACAAAAAGCCACCUCUGGCUGUGUUGUUUUAUCUUUAACUGAUUUGUACUUUUAUUGUUAUUUCAUUUCUUCUGCUUUCUUCAGGUUUAAUCUGUUGCUCAGCAUGGUUGGGAAAGAUGCAAAUGUUGUGUCUUUCUUUUUCAUGCAAUCUAGACAAUUAAAAUAUAUCCCAUAAGUUUUCAUCAGGUUCAAAAUACUUUGUGAUUUCAUUGGUGAUGUUUUCCUUGAGCUACGCGUUAUUUAGAAAACAGGAAAUUAAAAGGAUGCCUUUUCUAAAGAUAAAAUGAAGUGAAAUAAAAAGGAUGCCUUUUUUAUUUCAUUUUCUUGCCUAAUUGCCCUCCGAACUUCCGGGACUAUGUUGAGAAGAAGUAGCAAAAGCGGGCAUCUCUGCCUUGCUCCUGAUCUUGGAGGAAAAGCUUUCACUCUUUCGGCAUCUAGUACAGUGUUCACAGUGAGUAUUUUAUAUAGGACUUUUGUAACGCUGAGGUUGUUUCCUUCUGUCCCAAGGAGUUUGAGUGUUUUUGUCACGAAGGGAGCUGACUUUUGUCAGAUGCUUUUAGUGCAUCAAUUGAGCCGAUCAUGUGGUUUUGUCCUUCAUUUUGUUGAUACCGUACACUAAAUUAGUUGAUUUUCAUUGAUCGAAACUUCCUUGCAUUCCACGAAUAAAUCCCACGUGGUCAUGGGCCUUUCAUGUGCUGUCGAACUCGGUGUGCUAGGCUUUUGUUGAAUAUGUAUGCAUAAACAUUCUUUUGGGAAGUGUGUGUGUGUGUGUGGGGGGGUGUGUGUGUGUGUGUCCGUAUGUUUCUGGUCCUAAUUCUUCUUUAAAUGUUUAGUAGAAUUCUCCACUGAAGCCAUCUAGUCCUGGGGUUUUCUAUGUUGGGAGGUUGAUGAAUACUGGUUAAGUCUCCUUACGAGUUGUCGAGAUCUGCUGAGAUUUUUUACUUCUUCAGGAGUCAGUCUUGGCAGCGUGUAUGUUUCUCAGAAUUUAUCUAUUUCUUCUAGAGUAUCAAAUUUGUUGGGGUAGAGUUGUUCCUGGUCUUCUCUUUAUAAUCUUUUUUGUUUCUGUUGUAUCAAUUGUAAUGCCCCUCCGUCGUUCUGAGUUUAGUUAUUUGACCCUUCUGUUUUCCUCUUAAUCUGCUUAACCUAUGUUGACCUUUUCAGAGACACCAGCUCUUAGUUUCACUGUUUUUUUUUUUCCCUAUUAUUUGUCUAUUCUCCAUUUCCUUUAUUUGUGCUCUAAUCUUUAUUACUUCCUUCCUUCUGCUAACUUUGGGUUUACGUUGUUCUUCCUUUUCUAGUUCUCGAAACAUAAAGACAGGCUGUUGAUUUGAGGUCUGUCUUCUUUUUCACUGUAAGCAUUUACCACAAUAAACUUCCCUCUUAACACUA